This 450-nucleotide ribosomal RNA is filed under the name uncultured bacterium. RNAcentral describes it as "partial 16S ribosomal RNA". It matches the Rfam family "Bacterial small subunit ribosomal RNA", at positions 354 to 796 of the family's 1533-position model. The record is from RNAcentral.
GUGGGGAAUCUUCCGCAAUGGACGAAAGUCUGACGGAGCGACGCCGCGUGAGUGAAGAAGGCCUUCGGGUCGUAAAGCUCUGUCAUCAGGGACGAACGGCCGGUGGAGUGGAAAGCCACCGGAUUGACGGUACCUGAGAAGGAAGCCACGGCUAACUACGUGCCAGCAGUCGCGGUAAUACGUAGGUGGCAAGCGUUGUCCGGAAUUAUUGGGCGUAAAGCGCGCGCAGGUGGGAUCUUAAGUCCAUUUUUAAAGUUCGGAGCUCAACUCCGUGAUGGGAUGGAAACUGGGAUUCUUGAGUACCGGAGAGGAAAGCGGAAUUCCCCGUGUAGCGGUGAAAUGCGUAGAUAUGGGGAGGAACACCAGUGGCGAAGGCGGCUUUCUGGACGGUGUCUGACACUGAGGCGCGAAAGCCAGGGGAGCGAACGGGAUUAGAAACCCCUGUAGUCC